Small nuclear RNA from Mesocricetus auratus (golden hamster), 156 nucleotides. Its record names the gene U1. It matches the Rfam family "U1 spliceosomal RNA". From Rfam's summary of the family: U1 is a small nuclear RNA (snRNA) component of the spliceosome (involved in pre-mRNA splicing). Its 5' end forms complementary base pairs with the 5' splice junction, thus defining the 5' donor site of an intron. Lineage: Eukaryota; Metazoa; Chordata; Mammalia; Rodentia; Cricetidae. The record is from Ensembl.
GUUCUUUCCUGGACAGAGAUAAUAAUCAAAAAGGUGGCAUUCCUAGGGUAAGACUUUCAUUGCACUCCAAAUGUGCUGACCACUGCAGUUUCCCUAGAGGCGUGAAACUCAGCUGCAUAGAUUUUGGGAGAGGGAGACUGUGUUCUCUCUUUCCUG